Molecule: ribosomal RNA, 460 nt
Filed under: uncultured bacterium
Lineage: Bacteria
Description: partial 16S ribosomal RNA
Rfam family: Bacterial small subunit ribosomal RNA
Source: RNAcentral
CCUACGGGAUGCAGCAGUGAGGAAUAUUGGUCAAUGGACGCAAGUCUGAACCAGCCAUGCCGCGUGCAGGAAGACGGCUCUAUGAGUUGUAAACUGCUUUUGUACGAGGGUAAACGCAGGUACGUGUAUCUGUCUGAAAGUAUCGUACGAAUAAGUAUCGGCUAACUCCGUGCCAGCAGCCGCGGUAAUACGGAGGAUUCAAGCGUUAUCCGGAUUUAUUGGGUUUAAAGGGUGCGUAGACGGUCUGAUAAGUUAGUGGUGAAAGCCUGAGGCUCAACUUCGGAAUUGCCUCUGAUACUGUUCGGCUAGAGAGUAGUUGCGGUAGGCGGAAUGUAUGGUGUAGCGGUGAAAUGCUUAGAGAUCAUACAGAACACCGAUUGCGAAGGCAGCUUACCAAGCUACUUCUGACGUUGAGGCACGAAAGCGUGGGGAGCAAACAGGAGUAGAUACCCGGGUAGUC